RNAcentral lists this ribosomal RNA (253 nucleotides) under uncultured bacterium. Its description in RNAcentral is "partial 16S ribosomal RNA". It matches the Rfam family "Bacterial small subunit ribosomal RNA", at positions 524 to 776 of the family's 1533-position model. The record is from RNAcentral.
GACGAACCGAGCGAACGUUGUUCGGAAUCACUGGGCUUAAAGGGCGCGUAGGCGGGUGCUCAAGUCCGGGGUGAAAUCCUCCGGCUCAACCGGAGCAGUGCCUCGAAUACUGGCGGUCUCGAGGGAGGUAGGGGCGUGCGGAACUGUGGGUGGAGCGGUGAAAUGCGUUGAUAUCCACAGGAACUCCGGUGGCGAAGGCGGCACGCUGGACCUUUUCUGACGCUGAGGCGCGAAAGCCAGGGGAGCGAACGGG